UCCUGGCUCAGGAUGAACGCUAGCGGCAGGCUUAACACAUGCAAGUCGAGGGGCAUCGGGAGUAGCAAUACUUGCCGGCGACCGGCGCAAGGGUGCGUAACGCGUGAGCAACAUGCCCGUAUCAGGGGGAUAAUCCAUGGAAACGUGGUCUAAUACCCCAUAGUAAUUAUGUAAGGCAUCUUAUAUAUUUAAAGCUUUGGUGGAUACGGAUUGGCUCGCGUGACAUUAGCUGGAUGGUAAGGUAACGGCUUACCAUGGCUACGAUGUCUAGGGGUUCUGAGAGGAAGGUCCCCCACACUGGAACUGAGACACGGUCCAGACUCCUACGGGAGGCAGCAGUGAGGAAUAUUGGACAAUGGAUGGAAAUCUGAUCCAGCCAUGCCGCGUGCAAGGAAGACGGCCCUAUGGGUUGUAAACUGCUUUUGUAUGGGAGCAAUAAGGGCUACGUGUAGUCCGAUGAGAGUACCAUACGAAUAAGCACCGGCUAACUCCGUGCCAGCCGCAGC
This 506-nucleotide ribosomal RNA is filed under the name uncultured bacterium. Its description in RNAcentral is "bacterial SSU rRNA". It matches the Rfam family "Bacterial small subunit ribosomal RNA", at positions 17 to 518 of the family's 1533-position model. The record is from RNAcentral.